CCUACGGGGGGCAGCAGUGGGGAAUAUUGCGCAAUGGAGGAAACUCUGACCCAGCAACGCCGCGUGAAUGAUGAAGGUCUUCGGAUCGUAAAGUUCUUUUCUAAGGGAAGAAGAAAGUGACGGUACCUUAGGAAUAAGCCUCGGCUAACUACGUGCCAGCAGCCGCGGUAAUACGUAGGAGGCGAGCGUUAUCCGUAAUGACUGGGCGGAAAGGGUGCGUAGGUGGUUUGGCAAGUUAGUAGCGUAACUCCAAGGCUCAACCUUGGAACUACUACUAAAACUGUUGGACUUGAGUGCAGGAGGGGCGAGCGGAAUUCCAGGUGUAGCGGUGGAAUGCGGAGAUAUUAGGAGGAACACCAGUGGCGAAGGCGGGUUGCUGGACUGUAACUGACACUGAGGCACGAAAGCGUGGGGAGCAAACAGGAUUAGAUACCCGGGUAGUC
This 443-nucleotide ribosomal RNA is filed under the name uncultured bacterium. RNAcentral's name for it is "partial 16S ribosomal RNA". It matches the Rfam family "Bacterial small subunit ribosomal RNA", at positions 338 to 795 of the family's 1533-position model. The record is from RNAcentral.